Molecule: ribosomal RNA, 484 nt
Filed under: uncultured bacterium
Lineage: Bacteria
Description: partial 16S ribosomal RNA
Rfam family: Bacterial small subunit ribosomal RNA
Source: RNAcentral
AUUGAACGCUGGCGGCAUGCUUUACACAUGCAAGUCGAACGGCAGCGCGGGCUUCGGCCUGGCGGCGAGUGGCGAACGGGUGAGUAAUGCAUCGGAACGUGCCCAGUAGUGGGGGAUAGCCCGGCGAAAGCCGGAUUAAUACCGCAUACGACCUGAGGGUGAAAGCGGGGGACCGAAAGGCCUCGCGCUAUUGGAGCGGCCGAUGUCGGAUUAGCUAGUUGGUUAGGUAAAGGCUUACCAAGGCGACGAUCCGUAGCUGGUCUGAGAGGACGACCAGCCACACUGGGACUGGAACACGGUCCAGGCGACUACGGGAGGCACCAGGAUGGAAUCUUGCGCGAGGGGCGAAAGCCGGACGGAGCCACGCCGCGUGAGGGAUGAAGGCCUUCGGAUCGUAAAACGGGGUUAUUGGGGAAGAACAAAUGGGUAAGUAACUGUGCACAGCUUGACGGUACCGAAUUAGAAAGCCACAGCAAACUACGUG